GUCAGACGGGAGGAGGAAUUGUUGAUCUAAGUGCGCCAAGCAGAGACAUAAUGACUUCUCCAAGAUAAUGGAUCGUGAAGAAAACAACACUCAUCCUUCUGUUUGGAGAACCGUCAUGAUGACAUCACAAAUACGUCUUCUUUCCAUCCUCACCUGGCUGUGCGAAUCACAGGACAUGUAUGACCACAGAGACUCUCACAAUACUUUGGCACAUAUUAUUAGGAGAAGUGUACCCAGCCUCGGAGGGAGAGG
Molecule: non-coding RNA, 252 nt
Organism: Pelobates cultripes (western spadefoot toad)
Lineage: Eukaryota; Metazoa; Chordata; Amphibia; Anura; Pelobatidae
Source: the annotation of a GenBank genome assembly